This 139-nucleotide transfer RNA is filed under the name Aquipseudomonas alcaligenes. RNAcentral describes it as "Pseudomonas alcaligenes tRNA-OTHER". The record is from RNAcentral. Lineage: Bacteria; Pseudomonadati; Pseudomonadota; Gammaproteobacteria; Pseudomonadales; Pseudomonadaceae.
GUAGCUCAGUGGGUAGAGCAGUCUCAUGUCCGCGUCACCUCGUCGCUGCACCAGGGCCAUCGAAUGGCCAAAGGAUCGACCCGGCGAAUGCCGGUGGAACUACAGGACGUCGUGGUUGCGGGUUCGACUCCCGCCGGCU